UACUAAUACCGGAUAUUCUUGCUUUAUAUAAGUUUUGCAAGCAAAGGUGGCCUCUGACAUAAGCUACUGCAUAAAGAGGGGUCUGCGUACCAUUAGCUUGUAGGUGGGGUAAUGGCCUACCUAGGCUACGAUGGUUAGCGGGUCUGAGAGGAUGAUCCGCCACACUGGCACUGGAACACGGGCCAGACUCCUACGGGAGGCAGCAGUGAGGAAUAUUGCGCAAUGGGGGCAACCCUGACGCAGCGACGCCGCGUGAGUGAGGAAGGCCUUCGGGUCGUAAAGCUCUGUCAAAGGGAAAGAAAUGUAUAAUGGCUAAUACCUGUUAUAUUUGACGGUACCCUUAAAGGAAGCACCGGCUAACUCCGUGCCAGCAGCCGCGGUAAUACGGAGGGUGCAAGCGUUGUUCGGAAUUACUGGGCGUAAAGGGCGCGUAGGCGGUUUGAUAAGUCAGAUGUGAAAGCCCACGGCUUAACUGUAGAAGUGCAUUUGAUACUGUCAGACUUGAGUACCAGAGGGGAAAGUGGAAUUCCCGGUGUAGAGGUGAAAUUCGUAGAUAUCGGGAGGAAUACCGGCGGCGAAGGCGACUUUCUGGCUGGAUACUGACGCUGAGGCGCGAAAGCGUGGGGAGCAAACAGGAUUAGAUACCCUGGUAGUCCACGCUGUAAACGAUGUCACUAGAUGUAGGGGGUGUUGAUCCCUUCUGUGUCGCAGCUAACGCAUUAAGUUGAC
RNAcentral lists this ribosomal RNA (729 nucleotides) under uncultured bacterium. RNAcentral's name for it is "bacterial SSU rRNA". It matches the Rfam family "Bacterial small subunit ribosomal RNA", at positions 161 to 869 of the family's 1533-position model. The record is from RNAcentral.